ACUCAUCCGAGGCCCCGUAAUCGGAAUGAGAACACUCUAAAUCCUUUAACGAUGAUCUAUUGGAGGGCAAGCCUGGUGCCAGCAGCCGCGGUAAUUCCAGCUCCAAUAGCGUAUAUUAAAGUUGUUGCGGUUAAAAAGCUCGUAGUUGGUUCUGCGUGCCACGCUGUCGGUUCACCGCCUGCCGGUGCAACUGGCAUGCCGUGGCAUGUCCUGUCGGUGGCGGAUAGGCCUCCCGGCGUGCCCUAUGCGGUAUACCAGCGUGUAGGCUGCUGCGCCGGGGGUGUCCUUGUACGCCGACUCAAUCCUACCGCGGUGCUCUUUACCGAGUGUCGAGGUAGGCCGACACUGUUUACUUUGAACAAAUUAGAGUGCUUCAAGCAGGCUCUUAAAUCAGCCUGAAUAGUGGUGCAUGGAAUAAUGGAACAGGACCUUGGUUCUAUUUUGUUGGUUUCCGGAAUCCAAGGUAAUGAUCAAUAAGGACAGGCGGGGGCAUUCGUAUUGCGACGUUAGAGGUGAAAUUCUUGGAUCGUCGCAAGACGCACUAAAGCGAAAGCAUUUGCCAAGUAUGUCUUAAUUGAUCAAGAACGAAAGUUAGAGGUUCGAAGGCGAUCAGAUACCGCCCUAGUUCUAACCAUAAACGAUGCCAGCCAGCGAUCCGCCGACGUUCCUCCGAUGACUCGGCGGGGAGCUUUCCCCGGGAAACCAAAGCUUUUGGGUUCCGGGGGAAGUAUGGUUGCAAAGCUGAAACUUAAAGGAAUUG
This 760-nucleotide ribosomal RNA is filed under the name Oncopeltus fasciatus (milkweed bug). RNAcentral's name for it is "SSU rRNA". It matches the Rfam family "Eukaryotic small subunit ribosomal RNA", at positions 490 to 1155 of the family's 1831-position model. Lineage: Eukaryota; Metazoa; Arthropoda; Insecta; Hemiptera; Lygaeidae. The record is from RNAcentral. RNAcentral also lists the same sequence under 4 other names.